RNAcentral lists this long non-coding RNA (639 nucleotides) under Varroa destructor (honeybee mite). Its description in RNAcentral is "uncharacterized LOC111248087, transcript variant X2". Lineage: Eukaryota; Metazoa; Arthropoda; Arachnida; Mesostigmata; Varroidae. The record is from RNAcentral.
AUACCUAAUGAAGUAGUGCUCAGCAGUUAGCGCCAUUACCAUCAUUACCUUCCCUCCCAGGACAAGAUGCAAGAUUAUGAUUCUUAACCUAAUAUCAGAGAGCAUCGUUAGAUACAGACGUUGACGGUAUCACGUUUUUCACCUACACAAAACGGGAUUUCUCCCGACGGCCGAGAUUAUAGUUCUUGCUGGCGAUAGCAUCAACUACGUUGCAAACGCCCGUUCGUAGGAAAUGUUUUCGUUGAAAUUGCCGGAAAUCUUUCCGCUCUACUGCAGCGGAAGCAUUUCUAAUGCCGCAAGAGAUAUCAUCAAGGGAAGAUUACCAGUAGUCUCCAACAUGAAGAUCUGCAUUCUAGAAGACAAUCUAGGAUUAGGUGAGGAUGACGCCUUUAAGAAAGGACGCCUUCGCCUGCUUCCCUUGAGUCUAAUCGCGUUAACACAAAGCUCUUCAUCAACCAAAAAGAUCAAGCGUGCAGGACAAUGCGGCCGAAGAAGAAUCUGGCUGGUUACUCUUCCAAGCAGCGUCUUAUAGGCUUAUGCCUGACCUUACUCCAGCGAUCAGUAUCAGCGUUUCGUCAUUACAUUCAGCCAUUGAAGCUAUUUCCGGAACACGAUGUAACUCGGCUCGGAGAAAGAGAG